This 828-nucleotide long non-coding RNA is filed under the name Felis catus (domestic cat). RNAcentral's name for it is "lncRNA (ENSFCAG00000052122.1)". Lineage: Eukaryota; Metazoa; Chordata; Mammalia; Carnivora; Felidae. The record is from RNAcentral.
AGUGUUUAUAGGCGCUCACGGCCAGCAAUAACAGGUUCGAGUGGCCAGGGUGGCUCUGUGACUUUUUCAUCUUCCACGCUAACUUAAACACGAGAAGAAACGGCUUUCCAGGCCGGGCUGGCCGCGCGGCCGCGGAGAUGAAGUGCGUUCGUCAUAAUUCAUAGGCUUCUCCUCUCUUCCCGCUGCUCCGGAAUCACGCUCCGCCAUUAAAAUGCAUUGUGGCCGCCUGGCCGGUGGGGCCUCUACUCGUUCCCAGGGCCAGCAGGGAUGGGCGCACAGACACAGGGGCUCUGGGCCGCCACCCCCGCCCCGCCCCUGCUGGACACGCCGGGCACUGCAGGAGCCUGGCUCCUGACAAGGGGGCGGGGCUUGCCCUAGAGCCACCGUUCCCUCCUUCACGGCAGGCCUGCCACCAGCCCCUGGCGGUAGUCACACCAGGUCGUUCUGUGGGCCCUUCUGCUCUCGGGACGCUGCCUGGGGGUGUGCUGUCCCCAGCUCGAGAGAGCACAGGACCCAAAAUCAAGAUCAGGACUGGGGACACCUCGAGCAGAGUCCCAGGGUUUACCCAGGAGACAUGUGCUGCAUGAAGGAAUGAACGGAACUCACUGCUGAAGCAGAUAUCUCCUCCAAGUGGCACAAGAUGAACGAAGUGUCAACUCUGGGUCCCGGCGGCCUCUGCCCUGCCGCGGAGAUGGUCAAGAAUAGCUCCCACAUAACGGGCGUCUGGAAAGCUCCAGGAGCAGGUGCUCCUGGGUCCCCACCCAAGCUCCCACUGGGCACGCCCUCCCACCCAGGCACCCAUCGAUCUGCCAAACGACCACCCGCUCG